UACGUAGGUGGCAAGCGUUAUCCGGAAUCACUGGGCGUAAAGGGCGCGUAGGCGGCCUGUUAAGUCCGAUGUUAAAGACUGGGGCUCAACCCCAGCAUUGCGUUGGAUACUGGCAGGCUUGACGGUUGGAGAGGCGAGUGGAAUUACCAGUGUAGCGGUGAAAUGCGUAGAUACUGGUAGGAACACCCAUUGCGAAGGCAGCUCGCUGGACAACACGUGACGCUGAGGCGCGAAAGUGUGGGGAGCAAACCGGAUUAGAUACCCCGGUAGU
This 271-nucleotide ribosomal RNA is filed under the name uncultured prokaryote. RNAcentral's name for it is "partial 16S ribosomal RNA". It matches the Rfam family "Bacterial small subunit ribosomal RNA", at positions 524 to 794 of the family's 1533-position model. The record is from RNAcentral.